Molecule: long non-coding RNA, 583 nt
Filed under: Oryza brachyantha (malo sina)
Lineage: Eukaryota; Viridiplantae; Streptophyta; Magnoliopsida; Poales; Poaceae
Description: long non-coding RNA (OBRA_LNC001322)
Source: RNAcentral
AAAUUCAAUGAAUGAACUUGAAUAGAGAAGUGCGGAUGGUAGAUUGUAGGGUAACUCCUCACUGACCCUUGUUAUACAAUCAUAAUUGUGCUUGUAGAAUGACUUAUAUGAAGUUAUAUCUAUACAUGUCCCUCUUACCUACAAGGGAGAGAAGAAACAGCAAACAAGUGCUGCCAGGAUGUUAGGUGGAACCACAAAAGGAGUUUUUACAUGUCUUGUUGAAUGAGUGAGAUUUCUAGAGAGGGUGUAGGUAUGAGAAUGGGAAGCAGAGAGAAAUCUAUCCCUAGAGCAAUGGAAUAAUUUUGUCCACGGCUAUUACGCUCCUGCAAAUAACUCUGUUGCCCAACAGGAAUCAGGAAGACACACCUAUGUGGCCAAUAGUAUGGAGAUAUGGAAAAUCUUUUUAAGAUGUUUGUGUGUAUUUUAAGUCUUUAAGAAUGUUAAAUCUAUAAUAUUCUACAAUUAUAUAUAUAUAUAUAUAUAUAUAUAUAUAUAGUUGCAAAAUCGACCAGUUUUGUGUAUUAUGCUAAUGAUCUAGUAGCCCAAAUUUUGCUAUACUAGCUUAAACCUCCUGAAGUGCUGG